AAACUCAAGAAGAUAUAGAAAAAACUAAAGAAUACAUGGUCCACAAGGAAAAGCCCAAGCAGAGAUAGUUAUAGAUCCACAAGUGGCAAGCAUCGCCACGGGGCAAGGAGUGGUAAGAACAUGAUACAACCCUCAUUCAUACACAAAAAGGAAGAAACUCAGGAAGAUUAUAAACAUAAAGGAAGCAAAGCAGCUCCGACUAAUUUAUUGAGUAAAUUGCUAAUGCCAGACUAGACAAGCAUCAACAAAUAAAACCAUCCAAGCAUUUUAAAUUAGUUUCCAGUCAUCCGAACCCACUUAACACACUUGACGAUCCCAAAUAUGCCUGCUCAAAGAAGAUUCAUAUACAAAGAACCACCAAGUCUAAUGAGUAAAACAUGACCAUAUUAAUGAAUAUACAAAGCCGGUAACCGAGCCUAUUAGCUGUGACACAGAAAAUUUCCUGAAGCUCAGUCGGAUGCAUUACCACGAUGUGAUAAAAUCAGAAGACAUCAAUGAGCACCAACCAGGAAUGGGUGC
RNAcentral lists this long non-coding RNA (519 nucleotides) under Phoenix dactylifera (date palm). RNAcentral's name for it is "long non-coding RNA (PDAC_LNC020988)". Lineage: Eukaryota; Viridiplantae; Streptophyta; Magnoliopsida; Arecales; Arecaceae. The record is from RNAcentral.